RNAcentral lists this ribosomal RNA (497 nucleotides) under uncultured bacterium. Its description in RNAcentral is "partial 16S ribosomal RNA". It matches the Rfam family "Bacterial small subunit ribosomal RNA", at positions 28 to 507 of the family's 1533-position model. The record is from RNAcentral.
GAUGAACGCUGGCGGCGUGCCUAAUACAUGCAAGUCGAGCGAACAGACGAGGAGCUUGCUCCUCUGACGUUAGCGGCGGACGGGUGAGUAACACGUGGAUAACCUACCUAUAAGACUGGGAUAACUUCGGGAAACCGGAGCUAAUACCGGAUAAUAUAUUGAACCGCAUGGUUCAAUAGUGAAAGACGGUUUUGCUGUCACUUAUAGAUGGAUCCGCGCCGCAUUAGCUAGUUGGUAAGGUAACGGCUUACCAAGGCAACGAUGCGUAGCCGACCUGAGAGUGUGAUCGGCCACACAGGAACUGAGACACGGUCCAGACUCCUACGGGAGGCAGCAGUAGGGAAUCUUCCGCAAUGGGCGAAAGCCUGACGGAGCAACGCCGCGUGAGUGAUGAAGGUCUUCGGAUCGUAAAACUCUGUUAUUAGGGAAGAACAAAUGUGUAAGUAACUAUGCACGUCUUGACGGUACCUAAUCAGAAAGCCACGGAUAACUCCGUG